Molecule: long non-coding RNA, 340 nt
Organism: Juglans microcarpa x Juglans regia
Lineage: Eukaryota; Viridiplantae; Streptophyta; Magnoliopsida; Fagales; Juglandaceae
Exons: 3
Source: RefSeq, a predicted model, not a curated record
UGAGGCUUCUGCCCUUCGCGAUGAGCUUGACAUGCUACAAGAAGAAAAUGAUGUCAUCAUUGAUAAGCUUAGACGCGCUAAAGAAAGACGUGAGGAGGCAGAGGCAAGAGCUAGGGAGCUUGAGAAACAUGUCAAUUAUAAGAGUUAGUCAUUAUUACUGUUGUUAUUCUGAGUUGAAAUUAGGUUACCUCUAUUUGUAAGUUUGGGUUUUACAUUUAUUGCUCAGGAAUUUUAUGAAUUUUCCUCCUUGUUUGAUAGAACAUGGACAGGGCAACCUAAAUGAUAGAAAACUUAUUUUCCCCACCACUUCCCCACUAUAAAAGAAUUGGCGCUAGAAAAU